This 279-nucleotide ribosomal RNA is filed under the name uncultured bacterium. RNAcentral describes it as "partial 16S ribosomal RNA". It matches the Rfam family "Bacterial small subunit ribosomal RNA", at positions 506 to 784 of the family's 1533-position model. The record is from RNAcentral.
UGCCAGCCGCCGCGGUAAUACGAACUGUGCAAACGUUAUUCGGAAUCACUGGGCUUAAAGGGUGCGUAGGCGGGUUGGUAGGUCAGAUGUGAAAGCCCACGGCUCAACCGUGGAAUUGCGUUUGAAACCACUAGUCUUGAGGGGAUCAGAGGAGAGCGGAACUGAUGGUGGAGCGGUGAAAUGCGUUGAUAUUACCAGGAACACCGGUGGCGAAAGCGGCUCACUGGCUCGAUACUGACGCUGAGGUACGAAAGUGUGGGGAGCAAACAGGAUUAGAUA